Molecule: ribosomal RNA, 514 nt
Filed under: uncultured bacterium
Lineage: Bacteria
Description: partial 16S ribosomal RNA
Rfam family: Bacterial small subunit ribosomal RNA
Source: RNAcentral
AUUGAACGCUGGCGGCAGGCCUAACACAUGCAAGUCGAGCGAACAGAUGAGAAGCUUGCUUCUCUGAUGUUAGCGGCGGACGGGUGAGUAACACGUGGGUAACCUACCUAUAAGACUGGGAUAACUCCGGGAAACCGGGGCUAAUACCGGAUAAUAUUUUGAACCGCAUGGUUCAAUAGUGAAAGACGGUUUCGGCUGUCACUUAUAGAUGGACCCGCGCCGUAUUAGCUAGUUGGUAAGGUAACGGCUUACCAAGGCGACGAUACGUAGCCGACCUGAGAGGGUGAUCGGCCACACUGGAACUGAGACACGGUCCAGACUCCUACGGGAGGCAGCAGUAGGGAAUCGUCCGCAAUGGGCGAAAGCCUGACGGAGCAACGCCGCGUGAGUGAUGAAGGUCUUCGGAUCGUAAAACUCUGUUGUUAGGGAAGAACAAAUUUGUUAGUAACUGAACAAGUCUUGACGGUACCUAACCAGAAAGCCACGGCUAACUACGUGCCAGCCGCCGCGGUAA